Long non-coding RNA from Oncorhynchus masou masou (cherry salmon), 334 nucleotides. RefSeq lists it as uncharacterized. The record is from RefSeq and is a predicted model, not a curated record. The transcript has 3 exons. Lineage: Eukaryota; Metazoa; Chordata; Actinopteri; Salmoniformes; Salmonidae.
GUCGCACUCACAGUUGGUGCGCUUCUGCUGCCGAAAAUCCACGUCCUUCCUUUGGAGUCGAAGUGGAUGUGCGACAUUAGAAAGUCCCUCCGAUAGUUGACACGGAUCAUGAGGGUUUAAAACGCACCGCUGAACAGCUCUGUCUGUCUUGGGGAAAACCAUGGGAUCUCAGCGACUAUGGAGCGUGUUAUGUGUGAUGGCGGUGUGCUAUCAGACCGGGAUGUCAAGCAGAUACGGCUGUCUGUUUGAGAAGAAGCUCUGCCCCAGAGACCAACCAUGCUCAGAUGAUGGGCUGUUUGGCCAAUGUCUGCUGCCCCAGCAGGAGAGGGUUCUG